Oncorhynchus tshawytscha (Chinook salmon) is the source of this 1818-nucleotide long non-coding RNA. Lineage: Eukaryota; Metazoa; Chordata; Actinopteri; Salmoniformes; Salmonidae. The record is from Ensembl.
GUGAAUGAGGUGAAGGUAUUGGUAUUAUUAAAUGCCUGUGAAUGAGGUGAAGAUAUUGGUAUUAUUAAAUGCCUGUGAAUGAGGUGAAGGUAUUGGUAUUAUUAAAUGCCUGUGAAUGAGGUGAAGGUAUUGGUAUUAUUAAAUGCCUGUGAAUGAGGUGAAGGUAUUGGUAUUAUUAAAUGCCUGUGAAUGAGGUGAAGGUAUUGGUAUUAUUAAAUGCCUGUGAAUGAGGUGAAUGUAUUGGUGUUAUUAAAUGCCUGUGAAUGAGGUGAAGGUAUUGGUGUUAUUAAAUGCCUGUGAAUGAGGUGGAGGUAUUGGUAUUAUUAAAUGCCUGUGAAUGAGCUGAAGGUAUUGGUGUUAUUAAAUGCCUGUGAAUGAGGUGAAGGUAUUGGUAUUACUAAAUGCCUGUGAAUGAGGUGAAGGUAUUGGUGUUAUUAAAUGCCUGUGAAUGAGGUGAAGAUAUUGGUAUUAUUAAAUGCCUGUGAAUGAGGUGAAUGUAUUGGUGUUAUUAAAUGCCUGUGAAUGAGGUGAAGGUAUUGGUGUUAUUAAAUGCCUGUGAAUGAGGUGAAGGUAUUGGUGUUAUUAAAUGCCUGGGAAUGAGGUGAAGGUAUUGGUGUUAUUAAAUGCCUGUGAAUGAGGUGAAGGUAUUGGUGUUAUUAAAUGACUGGGAAUGAGGUGAAGGUAUUGGUAUAACGUUUUUAUGAAGUGAUGAACCAGCUUUGAUUUUCAAUGUUUUUGCUUGUUUUUUCCCUACAACCUCUCUUUCUUCAGUAAGUUGCUUUCCUCUUUCUCUCUCUCUCUCUUUCUUUCUUUCUCUCUUUCUUUCUUUCUCUCUUUCUUUCUUUCUUUCUGUUGUUGUAUGUGCCUCAGUACAUGCGCUUGAUUACGUGUGUGUGUGUGUGUGUGUGUGUGUGUGUGUGUGUGUGUGUGUGUGUGUGUGUGUGUGUGUGUGUGUGUGUGUGUGUGUGUGUGUGUGUGUGUGUGUGUGUGUGUGUGUGUGUGUGUGUGUGUGUGUGUGUGUGUGGAAAAGAAAGCGCUAAAGAGAGAACUGUUGACUGAUGUUCUGUAUUGUAGUGCUGUAUGUAAAUAACUUACCUCCCUCUAGCAGACUUUUAAUAAAAGUGUACAAGAUGGCUGAAAGUACAAACCUUUUGGGUGACAUCUUUGAUUUGAAGGUUCCCUGCUAAAAAAAAUGUUUUUUCAAUGAUAGGCCACAUAUGUGCAAGCUUGUAAUUUGUUGAAAGAGUGCACACCUUUUUUUAGCAGGGAACCUUCAAAUCAAAGAUGCACACCUAAAGUAGUACUAUUUUUACAGCAAGUUGAUGAAUUUCCUUUCACUUUAAUUUGGUAAAAGACCGGCAUACACACUUGUUUUUGUUACACAACUAAUGGUAAUGACAUGAGUGGCUAUUACAUAAGCACAACAUCAUGACUCUCUACUACAUUUUUACAAGUUAUAAUUUGUCUUCUUUGGCAACCCUUUAUUUCACGUGUUUCCAAGAGAAAAUUAUAACACAACCAUUUCUAGAACUGUACAGAUUGUGAAAAUGUAUAUAUGACUAAACAUUUCAGUCACUCUUUAAUUUUUGUAUGGGAAGAAAUGACAUGUGUUAAAGAAUAAUAAAAAAUUUGAUUAAAUAUUUAAUAAUAUUUAAAAAGAGGAUAAUUAAACACAGUCGAUGUGAAAAUAAGUGCUAAGAAAUAUUCUUCUUCUGUCUCUUUGUACAAAACAAAGUGUUGAGUAUUAAUAAAAAACAUGAAAUCAUGUCAUUUGUGAAAUUCCUAUGUUUUCUUAUUUUUCCCCUCUAAACAGAUUUC